This 108-nucleotide ribosomal RNA is filed under the name Pteropus alecto (black flying fox). Lineage: Eukaryota; Metazoa; Chordata; Mammalia; Chiroptera; Pteropodidae. The record is from RNAcentral.
GUCUACAGCCAUGCCGCCCUGAACACACCCGAUCCUGUUUGAUCUUGGAAGCUAAGCAGAGUUGGGCCUAGUUUGGAGACCACCUAGGAAUACCAGGCUCUGUAGGCA